AGCGAACGCUGGCGGCAGGCUUAACACAUGCAAGUCGAGCGCCCCGCAAUGUUAGCGGCAGACGGGAGAGUAACACGUGGGAACAUACCUUUUGUUUCGGAACAACUGCUGGAAACUUCAGCUACUACCGGAUAAGCCCUUACAGGGAAAGAUUUAUCGCCGAAAGAUUGGCCCGCGUCUGUUUAGCUAGUUGGUUAGUUAACGACUAACCAAGGCGACGCUCAGUAGCUGGCUUGUAAGGAUGAACAGCCUACCGGGAACUGAGACACGGCCAAGACUCCUACGGGAGGAAGAAGUGGGGAAUAUUAGACAAUGGGGAAAACCCGAAGCCAGAAAUGCGGCGUGAGGGAGGAAGGCCUUAGGGUUGGAAAGGCCUUUUGCCCGGGAAGAUAAAGAAGGGAACGGGAGAAUAAGGCACGGCUAAAUUCGUG
Molecule: ribosomal RNA, 431 nt
Filed under: uncultured bacterium
Lineage: Bacteria
Description: partial 16S ribosomal RNA
Rfam family: Bacterial small subunit ribosomal RNA
Source: RNAcentral